UUUCCUUGCAGUCUUCACUUUUCUCUGCUUCGGGAUCAUUAACAGAAAGUUUAUUUCUUCUGGCAAAUGAUCUACUAAACAAUCUGAAAUAAUUAGGUGAACAAUUUGACAAAAAGGUGAGCACAGCACCUGGCUCACAAUGGGUGCCCCCAGAACUUCAGAACAAGUUCUAAUGCUCUAUGCAGUCUGCAUUGUAUUUAUAAUAACACC
This is a long non-coding RNA of Sphaeramia orbicularis (orbiculate cardinalfish), 210 nucleotides long. RefSeq lists it as uncharacterized. NCBI's taxonomy places the organism in Eukaryota, Metazoa, Chordata, Actinopteri, Kurtiformes, Apogonidae. The record is from RefSeq and is a predicted model, not a curated record. The transcript is spliced from 3 exons.